RNAcentral lists this transfer RNA (65 nucleotides) under Microcotyle sebastis. RNAcentral's name for it is "tRNA-Ala". Lineage: Eukaryota; Metazoa; Platyhelminthes; Monogenea; Mazocraeidea; Microcotylidae. The record is from RNAcentral.
AACAAUGUAGUUUAAAAUAAAAUAGCCGCUUUGCAAGUAGCAGAUGGAUAUUAAUUUUGUUGUUA